This is a long non-coding RNA of Oncorhynchus nerka (sockeye salmon), 968 nucleotides long. RefSeq lists it as uncharacterized. The record is from RefSeq and is a predicted model, not a curated record. The transcript has 2 exons. NCBI's taxonomy places the organism in Eukaryota, Metazoa, Chordata, Actinopteri, Salmoniformes, Salmonidae.
AGUCCUUGUCCGAAGACCUUGAGGAGUACUAAAGCAUGGGGCCUCUCCUGGGAGGGGGAGAGAAAGAGACCCUGAACCGAUAAGAAACAUUUCAGCCCGUAGGAACGAGGUGUUCUAACCCUCUCCCUCCUUCCUCGCUGUGCUGUUGAUGUCUGUGAGGAAGAUAGCAGAUUAUGUAGCAAGUUUAUCCUCCGCUACCAUGGCGAGUAAUGACAGCCAAUCAGCCUUAGCUGAGACACUGAGGCUUUGUCGUGCUUGUUGCUGGUUACUUUAUGUAAUGUACCUAUUUUUUUAGGGGGUUGCUCUGGCCCCUGCAGGUGCAUGUUAUGCCAUGGCCUGAAACCAAGGAGGUGGGCUAAGUGCUGACGGAGCUCAGAAAACAGCUACUCUGUCUUUCUCAAACAUCUUCAAGGUCUCUGGGGAGGGAUAAAUGCCCACGAGAAGGUGUUAGCUUUGGGGAGAGAGCUCUGGAUCUGCACAGGGUCCACACAGCGGCCGAUUCGAAGGGGGGUAUCUGUACUCGCUGUUCCUUUUUCCUAUGCAUAUACCUCUUUGAGAUCUAGCUUUAAAGAGGCAUAGGGCAUGGGAAAAUGGGGCUGCAGAGGUAUUUCACCGACCGGACUACCCCUGGUCAACCAGCACAGCCCUAAGUUCUCCCUGUUCCCCCAUCUUGGACCUGAACCAGAGAACCGCAGAAAACAAAACCACAACAAGAAACCCUGAACUCAGUGGAGAGACUGUACCAUACCUCGUCACGAGAAACUGGGUUUUACAAUGUCCUGAAAUAUUCUAUUGUCAUUUCCUUUAUUUUGUAUUUUUGAUGGUAAAACUGUAGUAUAUUUCGUCGAUGUCCAAGUUGUUGUUUUAUUGCCUGCUUUCUAUAUUGAUGUGUUGUCCACCUAGUGGGUGGAAUUGUCUGGUGUUGUUCAGUAACAGUCUAUAAAAAAAAUGUUGGGAUGAAGAACCAA